This is a long non-coding RNA of Xyrauchen texanus (razorback sucker), 731 nucleotides long. RefSeq lists it as uncharacterized. The transcript is spliced from 3 exons. Lineage: Eukaryota; Metazoa; Chordata; Actinopteri; Cypriniformes; Catostomidae. The record is from RefSeq and is a predicted model, not a curated record.
UCGUACUUCACAGGUCUGGCACAGUACUGCUGCAGCAGACUCAGGCUACAGCUCUGAAAGCAGCAUUGUUCAACAAUUCCAGUGCGAGAACGGCGGCCGUGUGUUCUGUUUGGCCUGCCUGGGUGAGGAAAGAGAAGGUAUUGUUGAAGGAGAAACAUCCCCCUGAGAGACAGGCCAUCAGACAUGAGGUUGCAUACACUUAGAAGUGAAUACUGAGAGGGGAAUUCAAAUUAAAGCUGAUCCAGUGACUGCCUAGGCCAGGUCUUCAACAGGCUGACUUACAUACCACCUAUCGAGGAAAAAGUGAUCUAAUGAUGCUACAGCCUGUUUCCUGAUACACCAUAUCUCAGACCUUGUUGCACCUGUGACUUAAAGGGAGCAGUGAAAAGAAGCCUCAAUUUGCCAGGUGUUGGAUUGCGGUGGCAAGAAAAAAAAUGGUGAAGUGCUUAUACAGGUCUGUUGGAACUUGGACUGGAGGAAGUAGCAGUUUCCCCAGAAUAGCCUAUACUUUUGAUUACCUCAUAGUUACAUUAUAACACCAUCACCAAUGAUUGGUUUUUAUAUAUAAACUCAGCAAAAAAAGAAACGUCCCUUUUUCAGGAUAUUGUAUUUUAAAGAUAAUCUUGUAAAAUUCAAAUAACUUUACAGAUCUUUAUUGGAAAGGGUUUAAACAAUGUUUUCCAUGCUUGUUCAAUGAAUCAUAAACAAUCAAUGCACAUGCACCUGUGGAA